GACGAACGCUGGCGGCGCGCCUAACACAUGCAAGUCGAACGAGCGAGAGAGAGCUUGCUUUCUUGAGCGAGUGGCGAACGGGUGAGUAACGCGUGAGGAACCCGCCUCAAAGAGGGGGACAACAGUUGGAAACGACUGCUAAUACCGCAUAAGCCCACGGUGCCGCAUGGCACAGAGGGAAAAGGAGCAAUCCGCUUUGAGAUGGCCUCGCGUCCGAUUAGCUAGUUGGUGAGGUAACGGCCCACCAAGGCGACGAUCGGUAGCCGGACUGAGAGGUUGAACGGCCACAUUGGGACUGAGACACGGCCCAGACUCCUACGGGAGGCAGCAGUGGGGAAUAUUGCACAAUGGGGGAAACCCUGAUGCAGCGACGCCGCGUGGAGGAAGAAGGUCUUCGGAUUGUAAACUCCUGUUGUUGGGGAAGAUAAUGACGGUACCCAACAAGGAAGUGACGGCUAACUACGUG
RNAcentral lists this ribosomal RNA (466 nucleotides) under uncultured bacterium. RNAcentral's name for it is "partial 16S ribosomal RNA". It matches the Rfam family "Bacterial small subunit ribosomal RNA", at positions 28 to 507 of the family's 1533-position model. The record is from RNAcentral.